AGAUUGAACGCUGGCGGAAUGCUUUACACAUGCAAGUCGAACGGCAGCACGGGGGCAACCCUGGUGGCGAGUGGCGGGAACGGGUGAGUAACACAUCGGAACGUGCCCAUGUCGUGGGGGAUAACGUAGCGAAAGCUACGCUAAUACCGCAUACGAUCUACGGAUGAAAGCGGGGGAUCGCAGGACCUCGCGCGAUUGGAGCGGCCGAUGGCAGAUUAGGUAGUUGGUGGGGUAAAGGCUCACCAAGCCUUCGAUCUGUAGCUGGUCUGAGAGGACGACCAGCCACACUGGGACUGAGACACGGCCCAGACUCCUACGGGAGGCAGCAGUGGGAAUUUUGGACAAUGGGCGCAAGCCUGAUCCAGCCAUUCCGCGUGCAGGAUGAAGGCCCUCGGUUGUAAACUGCUUUUGUACGGAACGAAAAGGCUCUUUCUAAUACAGGAGCUCAUGACGGUACCGUAAGAAUAAGCACCGGCUAACUACGUGUCAGCAGCUA
This 496-nucleotide ribosomal RNA is filed under the name uncultured soil bacterium. RNAcentral's name for it is "bacterial SSU rRNA". It matches the Rfam family "Bacterial small subunit ribosomal RNA", at positions 26 to 517 of the family's 1533-position model. The record is from RNAcentral.